Molecule: long non-coding RNA, 1122 nt
Organism: Frieseomelitta varia
Lineage: Eukaryota; Metazoa; Arthropoda; Insecta; Hymenoptera; Apidae
Exons: 2
Source: RefSeq, a predicted model, not a curated record
CGAGGUGGGUUCGAAUGUUCGUUAGAGAACACGUAGGUGAUACGUGCGGUUGCGCGCGCGCGUGUUCCUCAUCUCACACGUAAAAAAGUGCACUAACCGACGAUGUCUGGAGAGAUCGGCAAACGCGAAGAAAUCGAGAACCAGAGUGCGACCAGACGGAAAAGGGGGAAGCGAAAACGUUGGAGACACACUCUGGAGCGCAAAUACUCGUCAAAACAAGCGGCACGUUUUUCGUAUUUACACGCUUAAUUCGCGUUUUCCGCGUUGUGCAACGUUUCUCCAAAAGACGCAUCGAAGAGAGCCCCAGAGGCUACGAACGUGAGGAUGAUGAAACAGCUGGAUAAUAAAAAGCAGAAUGCAGACGAAAUUGCGACAGAAGAAGAUCUUGGAGCGAUAGAGACAACACAAUGAUGCAAGCGUACGUCGUAUGUAAUUCAUACUACGUGCUUUGUUUCUAAUGAUCGAGGAAUAAAAGUUGGUCGUCGAGUGUUAAUGCUUGAUUGUACAGUAAUAUGCUUCGAAUACGCACGCGAUAUGACGAAUUAAUGGUUCGUAAACGGAACUACGCAGCGAUUGAAGGGAGAAAACAAUCUCCGUCUACAUGAUCGAUUUCUACGGAAUCUAACUUCCUCCAAUUACUCACGGUAAUCGCCGUGGUCGAUCGUCGACAGUAAUCCCGUGAUCGCGUGAACGGCGACCGCCGCCACCUUGCCAGCUGAUAUCCUUCAAAUCCUUCUUUCUCUUCAACCGAUCCUCUCAAAAUAUACAAUUUCUCUAUCCAACCGUUGGGAUCCAAUUCGAAUCGCGUGAUAUCCGACAACUCCGUUCCCAAACUUGCGUUCUCCUCUUCGAAAUUCUUUCGUAUCAUCUUCUUCUCCGUGGCAGAGUAAACAGAACUUUCAAGUACUUGUUACGACAGAACAAAACAUAAAAAAAAAAAAGGGGGGAGAAACAGAGACAAGUAAAGGAGAAAGAAUACUCUCGAUGAAAUUCGUGUAUAUCGGGAUAAAUUGUGUCGUAUGUUGUUCGAGGCAGGUCUCCUCUCCACACCGCGAACGAUAUGAUCAAAGGAUCCAGACAGAGAGAGUGAAAGAGAAACAGAGAGAAAGAGAGAGAGAGACA